UUUCACACAACAUGGAAUUCACGUGAAAUCAUAAAACAUGGAGUAAGGACUUGUUAAUUGAGCACUCUUAAAUCAUGAAAACAUGAUUAUGCCUAUUCUAGGCAUUUCGUCGAACACCUUGCAUGCACACUUUAUGGCAUAGGUGUUCUUAAUAAUUUAGUCAUCUUAAACCACCCAAUUUCAUGGGUUUUAACUACAAGCACACAUACUUCAUGAGAAUCACCCUAAAUUAAUAUCUUGAAGCAUAAAUAACAACCAUCAACAUGUACA
Molecule: long non-coding RNA, 270 nt
Filed under: Capsicum annuum
Lineage: Eukaryota; Viridiplantae; Streptophyta; Magnoliopsida; Solanales; Solanaceae
Description: long non-coding RNA (CANN_LNC000983)
Source: RNAcentral